RNAcentral lists this ribosomal RNA (467 nucleotides) under uncultured bacterium. RNAcentral's name for it is "bacterial SSU rRNA". It matches the Rfam family "Bacterial small subunit ribosomal RNA", at positions 28 to 507 of the family's 1533-position model. The record is from RNAcentral.
GACGAACGCUGGCGGCGCGCCUAACACAUGCAAGUCGAACGAGCGAGAGAGAGCUUGCUUUCUCAAGCGAGUGGCGAACGGGUGAGUAACGCGUGAGGAACCUGCCUCAAAGAGGGGGACAACAGUUGGAAACGACUGCUAAUACCGCAUAAGCCCACGACCCGGCAUCGGGUAGAGGGAAAAGGAGCAAUCCGCUUUGAGAUGGCCUCGCGUCCGAUUAGCUAGUUGGUGAGGUAAUGGCCCACCAAGGCGACGAUCGGUAGCCGGACUGAGAGGUUGAACGGCCACAUUGGGACUGAGACACGGCCCAAACUCCUACGGGAGGCAGCAGUGGGGAAUAUUGGGCAAUGGAGGAAACUCUGACCCAGCAACGCCGCGUGGAGGAAGAAGGUUUCGGAUCGUAAACUCCUGUCCUUGGAGACGAGUAGAAGACGGUAUCCAAGGAGGAAGCCCCGGCUAACUACGUG